AUGCACGCUGGCGGCGUGCCUAAUACCUGCAAGUCGAGCGAACAGACGAGGAGCUUGCUCCUCUGACGUUAGCGGCGGACGGGUGAGUAACACGUGGAUAACCUACCUAUAAGACUGGGAUAACUUCGGGAAACCGGAGCUAAUACCGGAUAAUAUAUUGAACCGCAUGGUUCAAUAGUGAAAGACGGUUUUGCUGUCACUUAUAGAUGGAUCCGCGCCGCAUUAGCUAGUUGGUAAGGUAACGGCUCACCAAGGCAACGAUGCGUAGCCGACCUGAGAGGGUGAUCGGCCACACUGGAACUGAGACACGGUCCAGACUCCUACGGGAGGCAGCAGUAGGGAAUCUUCCGCAAUGGGCGAAAGCCUGACGGAGCAACGCCGCGUGAGUGAUGAAGGUCUUCGGAUCGUAAAACUCUGUUAUUAGGGAAGAACAAAUGUGUAAGUAACUAUGCACGUCUUGACGGUACCUAAUCAGAAAGCCACGGCUAACUACGUG
This 496-nucleotide ribosomal RNA is filed under the name uncultured bacterium. RNAcentral describes it as "partial 16S ribosomal RNA". It matches the Rfam family "Bacterial small subunit ribosomal RNA", at positions 29 to 507 of the family's 1533-position model. The record is from RNAcentral.